Molecule: non-coding RNA, 26 nt
Filed under: Homo sapiens (human)
Lineage: Eukaryota; Metazoa; Chordata; Mammalia; Primates; Hominidae
Source: RNAcentral
UCCCACGUGGUGGAGAACACGGCCUU